RNAcentral lists this long non-coding RNA (755 nucleotides) under Vulpes vulpes (red fox). Its description in RNAcentral is "lncRNA (ENSVVUG00000024828.1)". Lineage: Eukaryota; Metazoa; Chordata; Mammalia; Carnivora; Canidae. The record is from RNAcentral.
UCUGGGUCAGCCUGGGUCCCUGGUGUUGCCCUUUCCAGAGAAGCCUUGGCCAGUGCUCCACCAGAGCCUGGGGAGAGAACAUACCUGUGAGGAAGCCCUGGGGACUGUUUACACCUAUCCCUGGCAGAGAUUCUUCUGUGGACCAGGGCAGUCCAGGAGGUUGGGCCCUUACCCACUGACGGGGGCUAUGCCUGCGGCAGUCAAGUCCCCCGCAGGGUGGCACCCAGCAAGUUCUCUGCUGCAGAGAGCCCCCAGGCUGAGAAGACAACAGGCAGAGGCGAGAGCAAGAGCGGAACCUCCAGGUGCGGGCAGGUAAACUUAGGUGGGCGGGGCGUCCAGGGCCGCGCGUCAUUGGCCGAUUGCACACCUGUGCUCUCAGUGCUCUUGUCCUCAGAGCUCACUCCCCUGUGAGUAUCUCCAGGAGGACUCCCAGAGGAGUCACACGCUUCCAUGCUCUGUUGGGCUCUUCCCCUCCACAGCAUUGUGACUCUCCACUCAGUCACCAUGACAGAUCUCCAUACCACCUUUGCUGUCGCCCAGAGGGCCCACCUGCCCACUCAGGACCACAUUGGCCACACCUGCUCACCUGGGCUGCUAGGGCCACUGCGCCAACCGUCCUAGGCCACUGCUUGCUGCUGCCUUUGGCUGACAUCAGUCCAGGAUGUGAGGCCAUGGCAGUGCUAUAUAACACUUCCCAAACACAUUCCCAUCUGUCGGGGCUGGAGCUCCAGAGGCCAACAGUGGCAAUCAGAUGA